Molecule: long non-coding RNA, 328 nt
Organism: Carassius auratus (goldfish)
Lineage: Eukaryota; Metazoa; Chordata; Actinopteri; Cypriniformes; Cyprinidae
Exons: 3
Source: RefSeq, a predicted model, not a curated record
CCUGUUUGUACUUAAUUUCGCAACGGCAAUCACCUCAGUAAGCUGCAGGUGUGGCUUUCUUGCUGGAGAUGGACAUUAUGAGAGACACGCUGUACAGAAUGAUUCUACAAAAGGACUACGGAUGUGGACUCUGGAUACCAGCGCUGAUCUGGUUAAUGAUUGGUUUAGGGGGGCUGAUUGCUGAUUGGUGGACAACAACGUUUGAUGAAACCCCACGGUCACUGUGACUAAUCACUCACAUUGUGACAUCUCACAAACAUGCCUCUUCAAAAGCAUAAAGGCAAAACAUGUAUACAAUCUACAAGUGGACAUGCACAUCUAUAUGAAG